RNAcentral lists this transfer RNA (70 nucleotides) under Cosmoscarta dorsimacula. RNAcentral describes it as "tRNA-Pro". Lineage: Eukaryota; Metazoa; Arthropoda; Insecta; Hemiptera; Cercopidae. The record is from RNAcentral.
CAGUAAAUAGUUUAUUAAAAAAUAUAAGUUUUGGGAAUUUAAGAUAAGAUAGUAUAAUUCUUUUUACUGA